This 386-nucleotide ribosomal RNA is filed under the name uncultured Bicosoecida. RNAcentral describes it as "partial small subunit ribosomal RNA". It matches the Rfam family "Eukaryotic small subunit ribosomal RNA", at positions 30 to 432 of the family's 1831-position model. Lineage: Eukaryota; Bigyra; Bicosoecida. The record is from RNAcentral.
GCUUGUCUCAAAGAUUAAGCCAUGCAUGUCUUAGUGUAAAUAACUCUUAUGAAACUGCGAAUGGCUCAUUAAAUCAGUUAUCAAAUACGUGAUGGUCGCCUACUACAUGGAUAACCGUAGUAAUUCUAGAGCUAAUACAUGCACCAAGCGCGCUUUUACGAGCGCGUGUAUUUAUUAGAUACAAUCAACCCUUCGGGUUUUGAUGAGUCAUAAUAACUGAACUAAGCGCAUGCUUUGGCGGCGCUGUUUCAUUCAAGUUUCUGCCCUAUCAGCUUUCGAUGGUAGGGUAUUGGCCUACCAUGGCGUUCACGGGUAACGGAGAAUUAGGGUUCGAUUCCGGAGAGGGAGCCUGAGAGAUGGCUACCACAUCCAAGGAAGGCAGCAGG